UACGGAGGGGGCUAGCGUUGUUCGGAAUUGCUGGGCGUAAAGCGCACGUAGGCGGACUGAUCAGUCAGGGGUGAAAUCCCGGGGCUCAACCCCGGAACUGCCUUUGAUACUGUCAGUCUGGAGGUCGAGAGAGGUGAGUGGAAUUCCGAGUGUAGAGGUGAAAUUCGUAGAUAUUCGGAGGAACACCAGUGGCGAAGGCGGCUCACUGGCUCGAUACUGACGCUGAGGUGCGAAAGCGUGGGGAGCAAACAGG
Molecule: ribosomal RNA, 253 nt
Filed under: uncultured bacterium
Lineage: Bacteria
Description: partial 16S ribosomal RNA
Rfam family: Bacterial small subunit ribosomal RNA
Source: RNAcentral